CAGCAGCCGCGGUAAGACAGAGGAUGCAAGCGUUAAUCGGAAUUACUGGGCGUAAAGCGUGCGCAGGCGGUUAUAUAAGACAGAUGUGAAAUCCCCGGGCUCAACCUGGGAACUGCAUUUGUGACUGUAUAGCUAGAGUACGGCAGAGGGGGAUGGAAUUCCGCGUGUAGCAGUGAAAUGCGUAGAUAUGCGGAGGAACACCGAUGGCGAAGGCAAUCCCCUGGGCCUGUACUGACGCUCAUGCACGAAAGCGUGGGGAGCAAACAGGAUUAGAUACCCCCGUAGUCCCUGUCUCUUAUAC
This 301-nucleotide ribosomal RNA is filed under the name uncultured bacterium. Its description in RNAcentral is "partial 16S ribosomal RNA". It matches the Rfam family "Bacterial small subunit ribosomal RNA", at positions 509 to 807 of the family's 1533-position model. The record is from RNAcentral.